This 430-nucleotide unclassified non-coding RNA is filed under the name Hevea brasiliensis (rubber tree). Lineage: Eukaryota; Viridiplantae; Streptophyta; Magnoliopsida; Malpighiales; Euphorbiaceae. The record is from RNAcentral.
ACUCAAAUAAACGAUAAACCAUAUUUUCCAUCACAUAUAUUUCAUAUUGAAACAUUAUUUUUUAUCAUAUUAAUUACACUAUUAUAAGAUAUACUGGUUUGGUUAAUGUUUGCCAAAGUAAAAAAUUGAACCUAAAACUGGAUAAAGCAAACAUAUAAACCAACCUAACCUGACCAGUUCUGCAGUUCAGUUAGCUGAAUUUUCAAGAGUGGUUUUUCUGGUUUGGUCAUGUUCAGCGCAGAGCAUCAAAUGCUCAGUACAAAAGUGUGAUAAAUUAGUAGAGAAAAGAGUGAGAAGGAAAAGGAUGAGACCUAAGAUAAAGUGGAGUGAAGUGGUAUCGAAGGAUUUACAAGUUCUAAAUAUUGAUGCGGACUUGGUGUCUAACACAAUUGAAUGGCAAAAAAUAAUCCAUAUAGCUGACCCCAACUAG